Molecule: transfer RNA, 68 nt
Filed under: Melanozosteria nitida
Lineage: Eukaryota; Metazoa; Arthropoda; Insecta; Blattodea; Blattidae
Description: tRNA-Ile
Source: RNAcentral
AAUAAAGUGCCUGACAAAAAGGCUUAUCGUGAUAGGAUAAAUAAUGUAAUUAUAAAUUACCUUUAUUA